Amborella trichopoda is the source of this 2508-nucleotide non-coding RNA. The record is from RefSeq and is a predicted model, not a curated record. Lineage: Eukaryota; Viridiplantae; Streptophyta; Magnoliopsida; Amborellales; Amborellaceae.
CCUUGAAAACUCGGUCAUCUAUAUGGCCACAUGAUAUGGACCGAGCGGCUCCCUCCCCGCCUAAUUCAAGAGGUUAUGAAGGUCCUGCUAUGGGAAAUUUGCAGGAUAAGGCCGUUUCCCCUACGUAUUCCUAUGAUUAGUGCUUUAGUCCACCGAUUAUGCCUCGAAACUAGGACCUUCCCUCUCCCUUGUGGGGAAUUAGGUAUUACCCUGGUGGAUCUUACCACAAUGGGGGUGAGCAAUGAUGAGGAUCCCCUCCUAUGUGAUCCCCCAUCUGUGGGUGAGAGCAUUUGAGAUAAGGUAGAGUAAUUGUUGGGGUAGGCUCCUCUUGAAAAUCAGCGGCGUAAGAGUGGCAGGAUACCCAGCUCUUGGUUUUUAACAGCCGUGGGAGGGAUUGUGCUGACCCGAGAGGAGCAAUAUGCUCAUUCGAGGAGCACCUUAUGCUUCUGAGCAAGAAAACUUCCUUCCUCGAGCCGAACGACGCCGACCGGGGAUGGGGUGGAGAUACUGGAAGAGGGGAACAUUCGAGUGGAGGAAGUGGAUGUCCCUGGUGUGGGUGAGGACGCCUCUGAUCCGGAUGAUGAGGAUUUGGCUGCUCACCCCUCUGCCCCUCAAGGUGAUGGUGCAGAGAGAUCAUGCACCAGUCAUAAGAGAACCAGGGAGACGGGUAGAGAAAGUGCAUCGAGAGGUGAAUGAGCUCGUAGCGAAAUUCUUGUCGCGGAUAUAGUAGAGGAUGUCACUCGCCUAGCCGCGAUUUAUCUUGAGGUUCCUCCCCCUAUGGCCAAUAAGGACUUCCCAGUAGCUGAUAUAUUUAGCCCCUCAUUCCCCUCCUGAUGAUUGGGUUUCAUCUCUUGAGGAUGAGUGUACCCUUAGGGGCUUCCUGGCGUAUCUCUUGGGGGAACCUUCUUUUUCCUGAUACUUCCAAGAGAUCACCCCGUGUCAAUGUUUAUGGGUUGUUAAGGAAAUCAUCUACCUUUGUAUAGUGGCUUGAGGGCCAGCUAUCCUAGUUUUUCUUCUCAAUGGUGCGCGAAAGGCUUCUGUAGAGUGGUGUCUUCACAGCUUUUCUUUAGGUAAGAUGCUUCCCGUAUGUGUAUUUUCAAAUUUUAUGGCAGUUAAUGUCUUAUCCUUUUCAUCUUUAUACAUCUCUGGGCAUGGGAACAUAUUGUUGUCACUUGUCCCGUUCCUUCAAGGGAGGCCGAGUAUUUUCCCAUUAGCCAGCGAUGGGCGAAGGAUGGCUUGAGAAGGUCCAAUGCUUCUCAGUCUCUCAUUAUACCCUAAUUUUUAACUUGUUGAAAGAGCAAGAGUUAUCGAAUAUUGUCCCCUUUGUGCAUGAAUUCUUUUCUUGACCCCUUUGCUUGCGUAUUUACAAAUUUCCUUAUCUUUAGAUUGACUGGUACCCUUAUGCAAACGUUGAGAGCCCUAACCUAGUUCGAGAUUUCUCAGGUGUGUUUCCCAUGACAUCCCUUCUUAUUUACGUGGGUAUAUAGAAGCUGACCACCAUGGUCGAGUUUUAGGAACUGUGGUCAUCCUCAACUAGGUUUACUGCAGACUCCCGUCUUUACUUUCCCUAAGAUCAGUGAUAUUCGGAGAUACCGAAUUGUCUUGGAUCCUUCAUUGCGCAAUUGGGAAACCGUCAUGACCCCCAGGAGGCUGUUCCUGAGAUGGUAACUUCUGUGGUAUUCGAGGCAUAUUGUCAGAAGUAUUAUCGGUCUGUUCGAUCUUUUGUCUUCUGUUCCCCGUGGUUCCGUUGAUUCGCUCGUGAUUUCAUAGAUCUGGGGCAGAUGAGAGAAGAGGUGUCAGAAAGUGGAGCAGCUUUUCUCUUUAGACUCACUUUAAUAAGUUGCAUCACCAAUUUCACGAAGCUUCCCCGAUUGGCGCCCCAUUGGAGCAAGAGAGAGACGGUUUGCCACACUUGGCCCCAUCUUCAUCAGAUAUCCCUUCCACUAAUGCUCCUCCCUCUAUGCAAUUAGAUCCUUUGGGGACUAUUGUUUGGGAUAUAGAGCGCCUUCGGGCUCAAGUCACGUUUCUUCAUGCUGAGAGGGAUCAUGCAACGGUGGACUUUGAGGACAAGGAGGAUAUGGUGAGGAUUCUGGAGGCUGCAUAUAUUGGGAAGGGUGGUGACCUACUGCCCAUGAGGUGAUUAGCUAGAGAGCGCAGGGUUCCACCUCCUCCUCAGGAGGGGACUUUUGGUCAAUUUGUGGCUAGGUCAGGAAGUCGAAGAUCUCAUGGGUAGGGCGGCCAUAGCUCUUCUUCAGCGGGUGUUGGGUCUUACUAGAUUGGUGGCGACCAGGAAGCCUCUUCUGCGAAUCCUUCCCCAAGUGGGCAGUAGCCUUCCUCGACUUCAAACCUUUUUAUGAAAAUUUGUUGUUUGAGGGCAUAUGUGCCCCGUCAUGGUUGACUUGUUGGGUUUGUAAUAAUUUUGCUUAGCCACCAUACUUUUUGGCUUUAUCAUGGUUGAUCUUUAUCCCCUUUUUGCUAAUCUUAUGGUAUUCCCAUCGAUUGCAUGUA